GUCAGGAUGGCCGAGCGGUCUAAGGCGCCAGACUCAAGCGUUCGCUUCCCGCCUGGGGCUUCUGGUCUCCACCUGGAGGCGUGGGUUCGAAUCCCACUUCUGACA
Molecule: transfer RNA, 105 nt
Filed under: Oryctolagus cuniculus (rabbit)
Lineage: Eukaryota; Metazoa; Chordata; Mammalia; Lagomorpha; Leporidae
Rfam family: tRNA
About the family: Transfer RNA (tRNA) molecules are approximately 80 nucleotides in length. Their secondary structure includes four short double-helical elements and three loops (D, anti-codon, and T loops).
Source: Rfam by way of RNAcentral